UUCCCGAGCUGUCAGGCCGUCAAGUGUGCAAAUUAGUUUGUUUGGUUUCGUUUUUAUGCAUGCGCUUAACCCACUUGUCUCCUGUGUGCCUAGAAUUGAUCGCCUAAAAAUAACUGCAUAUUCGAGCUUCGAUUGUGCAACACACUGGUACUUUCGCCACCAGGAAGUUGUUUGUAAUUAUCGUAUAAUUAGCGAGGUGAUAAUUAAAAAGGUCUGAGGUAGCCCCAAUCGUGAUCGAUUAAUUUAGAGAUCUGCCACCUAUCCAUCCGCUUCGCCCACAGCCUCUCCGGCAAUUCAUUUCCACUUCCCCAGCCCGAUCUGAUCCGCAAAGCGAACUACACCCACACCCGGCCGGCUGCAGUCCGAGCGACUCAACCAAUAGCUCCCAUUCCGAUCAUCCGUUAAUUGCGACUAAUGGAUUUGCUUACCUGUAGACGAUUUUCAGUUAAUAUUCUAAUUUGUUCUCCCCACCCCAGCCUCCCCCUAAGCGCUUGUAAUUAGUUUCCAGAGGAAAUUGCCAACGACUACGCACGCUGUGGGCGUAGGAAAAAAAACACGAAAAUCCAAAUCUAGACUCUUCCUCUAUCGGCACUGGAGAGAUAGAAGGCAAGCGGGCGAU
This is a long non-coding RNA of Drosophila ananassae, 619 nucleotides long. RefSeq lists it as uncharacterized. Lineage: Eukaryota; Metazoa; Arthropoda; Insecta; Diptera; Drosophilidae. The record is from RefSeq and is a predicted model, not a curated record. The transcript is spliced from 3 exons.